Molecule: non-coding RNA, 21 nt
Filed under: Arabidopsis thaliana (thale cress)
Lineage: Eukaryota; Viridiplantae; Streptophyta; Magnoliopsida; Brassicales; Brassicaceae
Source: RNAcentral
UGCCGGUGGAUUUAACGGCCC